Molecule: ribosomal RNA, 440 nt
Filed under: uncultured bacterium
Lineage: Bacteria
Description: bacterial SSU rRNA
Rfam family: Bacterial small subunit ribosomal RNA
Source: RNAcentral
CCUACGGGUGGCAGCAGUGGGGAAUUUUGGACAAUGGGCGCAAGCCUGAUCCAGCAAUGCCGCGUGCAGGAUGAAGGCCUUCGGGUUGUAAACUGCUUUUGUACGGAACGAAACGGCGAGCUCUAAUACAGUUUGCUAAUGACGGUACCGUAAGAAUAAGCACCGGCUAACUACGUGCCAGCAGCCGCGGUAAUACGUAGGGUGCGAGCGUUAAUCGGAAUUACUGGGCGUAAAGCGUGCGCAGGCGGUGAUGUAAGACAGUUGUGAAAUCCCCGGGCUCAACCUGGGAACUGCAUCUGUGACUGCAUCGCUAGAGUACGGCAGAGGGGGAUGGAAUUCCGCGUGUAGCAGUGAAAUGCGUAGAUAUGCGGAGGAACACCGAUGGCGAAGGCAAUCCCCUGGGCCUGUACUGACGCUCAUGCACGAAAGCGUGGGGAGCA